Molecule: ribosomal RNA, 253 nt
Filed under: uncultured bacterium
Lineage: Bacteria
Description: partial 16S ribosomal RNA
Rfam family: Bacterial small subunit ribosomal RNA
Source: RNAcentral
UACGUAGGGAGCGAGCGUUAAUCGGAAUUACUGGGCGUAAAGCGUGCGCAGGCGGUUAAAUAAGCCAUAUGUGAAAGUCUGUAGCUCAACUAUAGAAUUGCAUAAGGAACUGUGUAACUAGAGUGCAGGAGAGGUAAGUGGAAUUCCUAGUGUAGGGGUGAAAUGCGUAGAUAUUAGGAGGAACACCAGUGGCGAAGGCGACUUACUGGACUGAAACUGACGCUGAGACACGAAAGCGUGGGGAGAAAACAGG